GUAGUCCACCCCGUAAACGUUGGGAACUAGUUGUGGGGUCCUUUCCACGGAUUCCGUGACGCAGCUAACGCAUUAAGUUCCCCGCCUGGGGAGUACGGCCGCAAGGCUAAAACUCAAAGGAAUUGACGGGGACCCGCACAAGCGGCGGAGCAUGCGGAUUAAUUCGAUGCAACGCGAAGAACCUUACCAAGGCUUGACAUACACGAGAACACCCUAGAAAUAGGGGACUCUUUGGACACUCGUGAACAGGUGGUGCAUGGUUGUCGUCAGCUCGUGUCGUGAGAUGUUGGGUUAAGUCCCACAACGAGCGCAACCCUCGUUCUAUGUUGCCAGCACGUAAUGGUGGGAACUCAUGGGAUACUGCCGGGGUCAACUCGGA
This 379-nucleotide ribosomal RNA is filed under the name uncultured bacterium. RNAcentral's name for it is "bacterial SSU rRNA". It matches the Rfam family "Bacterial small subunit ribosomal RNA", at positions 790 to 1167 of the family's 1533-position model. The record is from RNAcentral.